CCCUAGGUCUCUUGCCUUGCCUGUCUUCCUGGGUCACGAUCCAGGACAGAGGAACGCAAACUUAUGCAUCAAGUUGCUGACUGCUACUACUCUUAAAUAUUAUUGUCGUAUUACAUAUAUAAGAUAUAGUGCUGUGAUACGGCUGACAUUGCAAGGUACCACAGAUCAGGUGUCUUCAACAACAAAGAUGUACUCUCUCACAGUCCUAGAAGCUGUACACCCAAAGUAAUAGGAUAACUGUUGUCUCAAAUAGACUACCUGUCUCAAGAAAACCAAACACUACAACAAAUAUUCUGAGCCAAAGCUCUCUUCCCUCCUGCAAAACCACCUAAGUCGAAAGUUCUAAUACUGAAGAUCAGAUCGUAUGAUAUUGCCCUUGAAGGGUCCCAAGGAGAAAAUUCUGCUAAGUCAGUAUUCACUUCGCCAAUGGAAAGGACUAGUAAUUUAAACAGGUAAAACUCAGAAGAUCCUAAAAUGCAGAAGGAGAUAUUUGGACACUUCUUUGCCUAAGAUAAGAUCUGUCAUGGAAUUUCCUAAACACAGUCUGCUGUCAAAGGCUGCUUUGGGAAACCACACCUGAGACAGUUUGUACCAGAAGGAACCUGAGAAAGCACAUACUAAAUUGGAACUUUGGAUUUGUAACCUCCUAACUGACUGACAAAGAGGACUGAAAGGUGAUUCUAGAAACUUCCAACUUGUGCAACCUGUGUGCUGAGAUUUCUGUGGACUUCUACUAUCCAGAUUCACCACUGGGUAAGCUGAUACAAGCGCUCUUUCAGAAUGUUGGCUUGAGUCCAACCAAGAGGGAAACAGAGGAAGUUCUUUGCUUCAUUCAAGAGAGGUUCAUCAAACAGUUAACCAAAGGAACAGUGCACCCAGAGAGUCCUUGUCUUGGGUUGAAAUUGGAACACCCAUCAGAUCAACAAAGACUGCAACAGAAAAGAGAGUUGGACUUCUUUGAAUAGGGACCAAUGGAAUAAAAUAGAAAACCCAGAAAUAAACAUAUGUAUUUAUGGACACCUCAUCUUUGACAAAGGAGCAAAGAAUGUGCAAUGGAACAAGGACAGUUUGUUAAAUAAAUGGUGCUGGGAAAACUGGCCUGCUAAAUGCAAAAGAAUGAAGCUAAACCACUACCUUACAUCAUACAGAAAAACCAACUCAAAAUGGAUACAAGAAUUGAACGUAGGACCUGAAACUGUAAAAUAUAUACAAGAAAAUAUAGGCAACUCCAUUGUACAUCUCUAUAACAUCUUUAAAGACAUGUCCCCAAAAAGAUGAGCAGCUGGGAUUACAUCAAGCUAAAAAGCUUCUGUACAGCAAAAGAGACAUUACCAAAGCAAACACACCCUACUGAUUGGAGAAAAGUUUUGCACACAAUACAACUGAUAAAGGAUUGAUCACUAAGAGGUGAUGCAACCGUCUCUAAAGAGGAAAUAAACAGGAAAUCUGCUAGCAAACUUCCUUAAUACAUGAAGUGCAACACUUCUUUGUAUCACCAGUCUGCAGUUGCUGGAAUUUCUUACUUAUCAGUCUCCAUUAUCUUAUGAACUAAUUCCUUGAAAGAGAACUCUCUAUAAAAAU
Long non-coding RNA from Talpa occidentalis (Iberian mole), 1581 nucleotides. RefSeq lists it as uncharacterized. The transcript has 10 exons. NCBI's taxonomy places the organism in Eukaryota, Metazoa, Chordata, Mammalia, Eulipotyphla, Talpidae. The record is from RefSeq and is a predicted model, not a curated record.